Long non-coding RNA from Ictalurus punctatus (channel catfish), 1610 nucleotides. NCBI's taxonomy places the organism in Eukaryota, Metazoa, Chordata, Actinopteri, Siluriformes, Ictaluridae. The record is from Ensembl.
GUGUGUGAGUGAGUGAGUGUGUGUGAGUGAGUGAGUGUGUGUGAGUGAGUGAGUGUGUGUGAGAGAGAGUGUGUGAGUGAGUGUGUGUGUGUGUGUGUGUGUGUGUGAGUGUGUGUGUGUGUGUGUGUGAGUGUGUGAGUGAGUGUGUGUGAGUGAGUGAGUGUGUGUGUGUGUGUGUGUGUGAGUGUGUGUGUGAGUGUGUGACGGGUUACCAUACAAUCACUCCUGUAUGCGUCUCUGUUGAGGACUGUGAUGUGAUUAUUGGUUGUGAAUGAGCACAAGAUUAACUUUGCUCUUUGUACAAUGUGUAAAUGUUUUGGCACCUGAACACUGGUACUCCCCCCAGCCCCCCUCCAGCCACCGAUCAAGUACCAAAAGUCCCAGAUGCAUCCACACCGGCAAUGUUUACCCUGGAACAGCGCGGCCGAACAUCGUUCGGUUUUCAGCGAGAGUGGCUGUUUAUAACGGCAGGAGGCGGAGCAAGUGUUCGUGAAGAAAAGUGGGCGGGGCAAGCGGUGGAGGGGCAGGGGGAUGGUAGUGGUGUUUAUUUGUUCCUGAAGCAGUUGGUGAGUCUCGCUGUGCUGCUGCGAGCUUAAAGUGUUUAAUCAACGUAAAUCUAUCCAGCAGCAAUGUUUUUCCCACAAAUAAACAGCACUGACCCUGAAAUGCAAACCAGCAUCCACCCUGUUUCUCCAGAGCUUUAACUUUGACGUCUGAUUUGUGACUUUUACAGCCUGAAUGUGCUAGUGCAUUAGAGCAUUAGUGAGCUACAGCGGAUAGUUCGGAAGGGGAAAAGCUGGCUGUCUUGUAGAAGAGCCGUGAGAUCUUCUCUCGCCCUGCGUCACCUGGAGACGUUUGAUCUCGUCUAGCGGGUAGGGCUGGGCGAUAUUAUAAAAAUACCAUAUCACCAUACUUGAAGACGUUUCUAUGAUACGCGAUGCGCAUCACAUUAAAUAACUUGGCUAACAAACCGUCCACAAAACUGGCUUUGACGAUACUUUUCUUUAACGACAAUUUAAGUUACUGUUUCACGAGUAAUUAUUAAAAACGUGUAACAUUUACAUGACCCUACCGACUAUGUCUCAGAAAAGUGUCAUCGUUUAUCACGAUAUCGGUGUUAUAUCGAUAUAUCGGCCAGCCCUACUGGCUAUUGCUGAGAUUUACGUUUAAGAUGCUCUGUCCUGUGCCUGUAGGAAGAUGCUGGAGAUAUUUGUUUUCACUUUGCUUUGAUAGUUAAUCUGGGAACACGUCCAGAUCGCCAUCAUGUCCUCGUCAUCUGUUUAUUAGUGCUGCAUUACACGACGCAGCUAGGGUUACAUUACACGCUAUCACCUGCUAUCGAUUUCGGAGUUGGAGCAUUUUUCUACACUCGGUACUGUUACCCUAGUGAUGAGGAUGAGGAGGAGGAUGAUGAGGAGGAGGAGGAGGAGGAGGAUGAUGAUGAUGAGGAGGAUGAUGAUGAGGAGGAGGAGGAGGAUGAUGAUGAGGAGGAGGAUGAUGAUGAGGAGGAUGAUGAUGAUGAUGAUGAUGAUGAGGAGGAGGAGGAGGAGGAUGAUGAUGAGGAGGAUGAUGAUGAGGAGGAGGAGGAGGAUGAUGAUGAGGAGGAGGAG